GAGUGUUUGUGUGUAGAUGGUGUUCAGGGACAGGUGUGUUUGCCUGUGUGUAGAUAGUGUUCAGCACCAAGUACAGGUGUGUUUACAU
RNAcentral lists this microRNA precursor (88 nucleotides) under Branchiostoma floridae (Florida lancelet). Its description in RNAcentral is "mir-2060 microRNA precursor family". It matches the Rfam family "mir-2060 microRNA precursor family". The record is from Rfam by way of RNAcentral. Lineage: Eukaryota; Metazoa; Chordata; Leptocardii; Amphioxiformes; Branchiostomatidae.